CGGACGGGUGAGUAACACGUGGAUAACCUACCUAUAAGACUGGGAUAACUUCGGGAAACCGGAGCUAAUACCGGAUAAUAUAUUGAACCGCAUGGUUCAAUAGUGAAAGACGGUUUUGCUGUCACUUAUAGAUGGAUCCGCGCCGCAUUAGCUAGUUGGUAAGGUAACGGCUUACCAAGGCAACGAUGCGUAGCCGACCUGAGAGGGUGAUCGGCCACACUGGGAACUGAGACACGGUCCAGACUCCUACGGGAGGCAGCAGCA
RNAcentral lists this ribosomal RNA (264 nucleotides) under uncultured Staphylococcus sp. RNAcentral describes it as "partial 16S ribosomal RNA". It matches the Rfam family "Bacterial small subunit ribosomal RNA", at positions 99 to 355 of the family's 1533-position model. Lineage: Bacteria; Bacillati; Bacillota; Bacilli; Caryophanales; Staphylococcaceae. The record is from RNAcentral.